GGUUAUUUUUCAAUUGCUAGGACAAAGAGUGUAUGAAAUAAAUUUGUGUGAGGAGUGGGUCAUGUGAUCUGUAGCUCCCAAGUCAAUGAUCCAAGAGUUUUGAGGAGAUAUUAUCCGAAGUAUAGACAAUAUGACAAGAUUGAGAAGAAAUACCUGAGACCAGCUUUUGUAAUGUUUCUAAUAGAUCCCUUAAUUUCUCAAUCUCUUCUUUGUUGAAAUCAGCAUGUGGAGGGUCCUCACUACUUGAAUGUGUGUUUGCCAUAUGUGCCUGUCCUUGUCCUUUUGAUUGUCCACCCUUCUCUGACCAUGUUUUAUUCAUGGCCUGAGGCUUGCCAUGGAGCUUUCAACACUUCUUAGUAUGAAGAGAUUUUUUGCACCACAGAGUCCUUGCUAAAUGGUUUUGACAAGUCUUUUUGCCCACUACCCUCACAAUUCUUCGUAGUAGUGUUCUUAGACACCAAAGCAGAGCUUUC
RNAcentral lists this unclassified non-coding RNA (473 nucleotides) under Hevea brasiliensis (rubber tree). The record is from RNAcentral. Lineage: Eukaryota; Viridiplantae; Streptophyta; Magnoliopsida; Malpighiales; Euphorbiaceae.